GCAACCCUUAUCCUUUGUUGCCAGCGAUUAGGUCGGGAACUCAAAGGAGACUGCCAGUGAUAAACUGGAGGAAGGUGGGGAUGACGUCAAGUCAUCAUGGCCCUUACGACCAGGGCUACACACGUGCUACAAUGGCGCAUACAAAGAGAAGCGACCUCGCGAGAGCAAGCGGACCUCAUAAAGUGCGUCGUAGUCCGGAUUGGAGUCUGCAACUCGACUCCAUGAAGUCGGAAUCGCUAGUAAUCGUGGAUCAGAAUGCCACGGUGAAUACGUUCCCGGGCCUUGUACACACCGCCCGUCACACCAUGGGAGUGGGUUGCAAAAGAAGUAGGUAGCUUAACCUUCGGGAGGGCGCUUACCACUUUGUGAUUCAUGACUGGGGUGAAGUCGUAACAAGGUAACCGUAGGGGAACCUGCGGUUGGA
This 424-nucleotide ribosomal RNA is filed under the name Salmonella enterica subsp. enterica serovar Virchow. Its description in RNAcentral is "partial 16S ribosomal RNA". It matches the Rfam family "Bacterial small subunit ribosomal RNA", at positions 1098 to 1522 of the family's 1533-position model. RNAcentral also lists the same sequence under 1 other name. The record is from RNAcentral. Lineage: Bacteria; Pseudomonadati; Pseudomonadota; Gammaproteobacteria; Enterobacterales; Enterobacteriaceae.